GAUGAAGAACGUAGCGAAAUGCGAUAAGUAAUGUGAAUUGCAGAAUUCAGUGAAUCAUCGAAUCUUUGAACGCACCUUGCGCUCCUUGGUAUUCCAAGGAGCAUGCCUGUUUGAGUAUCAUUAAAUUAUCAACUGUGCCAAUUUGGUUACAGAUUGGAUGUGGGAGAUUCUUUUUGCAGGCCUUUGACUUCUCUUUGAGAAAAAAAAUAAAAGGUCGGCUCUCCUGAAAUGUAUUAGCAGUGCCUUUGUUGGUUCAUUAGGUGUGAUAAAUUGUCUACAUCUUCGCAUGAUACCUUCAUUUGUAAAGGUCAUAUUGCUUCUAAAUUGUCUUUGAUUGGACGCAAAACAUAUAUAAUGUUUGACAAACUUGAUCUCAAAUCAGGCAGGACUACCCGCUGAACUUAAGCAUAUCAAUAACGGAGGA
Molecule: unclassified non-coding RNA, 424 nt
Filed under: soil metagenome
Description: partial contains 5.8S ribosomal RNA, internal transcribed spacer 2, and large subunit ribosomal RNA
Rfam family: 5.8S ribosomal RNA (bases 1-120)
Source: RNAcentral